This is a long non-coding RNA of Hippocampus zosterae (dwarf seahorse), 1185 nucleotides long. RefSeq lists it as uncharacterized. The record is from RefSeq and is a predicted model, not a curated record. Lineage: Eukaryota; Metazoa; Chordata; Actinopteri; Syngnathiformes; Syngnathidae. The transcript is spliced from 3 exons.
AAUUAAAUUAUAAAAUUAAAAAAACCCGAAACUGAGGGCUACCCCUCCCCCUUUCGUGUAUAGUUUGAUGGCUCAACCAUGCGAAUGUAAUCGCAUGUAAACGAUUUAAGCGGUCAUGAAUAGGCCGAUUUUAGUGAGAACACGCCGGGAAUGUCUUAAUCUCACUUUAUCACGUACCUCGCCACUAAUCUCGUAGAAACGUCCGCUACUCUCGGUCCAGACGUCUCUCGGUCCCCAUCCAUUCCGUGACGGAUGGUAUUAUAGUUCUUAAAAUAAAAGACAGACAGCACACCUUGAAACGUCCAACUGUUUUAUUUUGUACUCUUCAGACAUUUGUCAAAGUGGCUGUCAAGCUCCCUACCAUAACACCCAUCCAUCCAUUUCCCGAUCUGCUUUAUCCUCACCGGGGUCGAGAGGGAUACUGGAGCCUAUCCCAGUCGUCUUGGGGACACCCUGAACCGGUUGCCAGCCAAUCACAGGGCACACAGAGACGAACAAUCAUCCAUGCUCACACGCACACCCAGGGACAACACGAUCGCGACCAUGUAAAUUCGCUACGAAGGUGAUGCUCACACUCCUCCACGUCACGGCUUCAAAUACCGCUCUUAACUUUGUAUUUCUAUGUUUCCAUUUUUUGUAGCCAGUCGGAAGUUCUAAACGAGAUGUUUUGUUUAACGUGAGGAAUUGAACAGGUGUGCUGCAAUUGAACAAUUUCUACGUAUCUGGUGUCGAAUAUGCAGGAAGGAAACACAAAAUGACCGGACUCCCGAGCCAGUCAAUUUGGAAGCCAGUUAACCAUUCAGACAGGUUUUAACGUUUGCCUGACGUUAGCAACUAUGCUAAAUGUUUGCGUUGCUCUCAUGAACGAUUUACUGCUGCCGUUUUUUGCGUAAAAAACACACAUAGUUUGCACGAUAUUGUAUUACUAUUUAGCUGUUACAUAUUGUUGAAAAAGUACACAAAUGACAUUCUGGGAAACUGACAGCAACAUCUUGAUCGUUUCUUACGUGUCCCAAAACCAAUUCAUCUGUCAUUUGGUGAUUCAUGAAUGGAGGGAUCCAAGGUGUACCACACCUCUCACCCAUUCAGCCGACUACCCGGCAAUAUACGGAGGAUUAGUCGGAAAGAAGCCUUUGCCAUCUCCCAGGAGGAGGAGGAGGCUGAGGAUGGCAGGUUGCAGCACAU